RNAcentral lists this non-coding RNA (350 nucleotides) under Gorilla gorilla gorilla (western lowland gorilla). Lineage: Eukaryota; Metazoa; Chordata; Mammalia; Primates; Hominidae. The record is from Rfam by way of RNAcentral.
GCCAGGCACAGUGGUGCACGCCUGUAAACCCAGCACUUCGGGAGGCUGAGGCGGGAGGAUUGCUUAAGCCCAGGAGUUCAAGACCAGUCCUGGCAAUAUAGCAAGACCCUGUCUCUACAAAAUACUACAAUUAGCUGGGUGUGGUGGUGCAUACCUGUAGUCCCAGCUACUCGGGAGGCUGAGGUGGGAGGAUUGCUUGACCCUGGGNNNNNNNNNNCCUCCCGAGUAGCUGGGACUACAGGUAUGCACCACCAUACCCAGCUAAUUUUAUUUUUUUGUAGAGACAGGGUCUUGCUAUAUUGCCAGGACUGGUCUUGAACUCCUGGGCUUAAGCAAUCCUCCCGCCUCAG